RNAcentral lists this ribosomal RNA (246 nucleotides) under uncultured delta proteobacterium. RNAcentral's name for it is "partial 16S ribosomal RNA". It matches the Rfam family "Bacterial small subunit ribosomal RNA", at positions 796 to 1041 of the family's 1533-position model. The record is from RNAcentral. Lineage: Bacteria; Deltaproteobacteria.
CACGCCGUAAACGAUGAGUGCUAGGUGUUGGGGGUAUUGACCCCCCCAGUACCGCAGCUAACGCGUUAAGCACUCCGCCUGGGGAGUACGGCCGCAAGGCUAAAACUCAAAGGAAUUGACGGGGGCCCGCACAAGCGGUGGAGUAUGUGGUUUAAUUCGACGCAACGCGCAAAACCUUACCUGGGUUAAAUCCACUUGAACCUGCCAGAAACGGUGGGGUGCCUUCGGGAGCAAGUGAGAAGGUGC